RNAcentral lists this ribosomal RNA (253 nucleotides) under uncultured bacterium. RNAcentral describes it as "partial 16S ribosomal RNA". It matches the Rfam family "Bacterial small subunit ribosomal RNA", at positions 524 to 776 of the family's 1533-position model. The record is from RNAcentral.
GACAGAGGGUGCAAACGUUGCUCGGAAUCACUGGGCGUAAAGGGCGUGUAGGCGGGAAGGAAAGUCAGAUGUGAAAUCCCUGGGCUCAACCCAGGAACUGCAUUUGAAACUUCCUCUCUUGAGUGUCGGAGAGGAAAGUGGAAUUCCUGGUGUAGAGGUGAAAUUCGUAGAUAUCAGGAGGAACACCGGUGGCGAAGGCGGCUUUCUGGACGACAACUGACGCUGAGACGCGAAAGCGUGGGGAGCAAACAGG